Long non-coding RNA from Hypomesus transpacificus, 3005 nucleotides. RefSeq lists it as uncharacterized. NCBI's taxonomy places the organism in Eukaryota, Metazoa, Chordata, Actinopteri, Osmeriformes, Osmeridae. The record is from RefSeq and is a predicted model, not a curated record. The transcript is spliced from 2 exons.
GCAAGUAGGGUUGCCCAAGGACACAAGUGCCUUGCCCAAGGACACAAGGUAAUUUGGCCCUCAUGUUCUAUGUGGUGAGUUUGUCUUGUGAAAAGCAUAAGUUUCAAAUGACUACCACAACCUAAAGUCAACCCAGGCAUGCAUGCAUGAUGUCUUUGAUACUUGAAGUACAGUAGACCAACAUAAUUAGUGUGGUUAAAUGUAUAAUAGAUGUUUCCUGGAAUUAAAAUGGUUUGUGAAUGUUUUUCUUUUAUCUUUAGUUUCGUUAAAAGCCAAAGCUGAUUUUAUCCAUUGCAUAUUUAUACAUACUUUAAGGCUAUAUAGCUGCAUGGAUGUUUUACACAAAUAAACAAUCACAGGUAACAGACGGCUGCCUUGGAAACAGGGGUGACACCUGACACAAAAAAAACACCCUCUUCCCACCAAAACUAUUGAGUACACUUAUUUCACCUAAAUCAUAUCAUGCAUCAUCAGUAAAACUUAAAGUGAAAAAUAACUCAUUUGCACAAAAUGUCAGUGGGCAUCAUCACCAGGUCUGUGACAUAAGUGAACAUUAGGAAUGAAUGAGAUCCUGAUUGCCCUGACAGGGAACCCCCUUCAGAUGGAAAACAUCUCUUCCCACAGCACCAGAUUCUUACUCUUUCCACCAAACAACCUUCAACCUGGUUUUCGCAUCUCACCUCCAGUUACGCCAAUGUCUGAGCGGUUUGGGGUUUUAGAUGAUUUUUACAUUGUAGAUAAUGUGACAUUGAGCUAAUCUAUGAGUUUAUAUCAUUUUACACUAAAACUGUACAACAUCAUAAUCACAACAAAAUCAUUAAGGUGCCUUGAAGUAGGGUGAUGCCGUGCAGCCAACUCGACUCAGAGGUCACUGCUGAAGUCAAACACUAGAAAGCUCUACACUUCGCUAGUGGCUUCGAUUUUGUGAAGUUAAAGUCCACAAAUGUCAAUGCACUGUUCACACCACAUUUAAACAGAUGUGUUAAGACGUGGAUCCAAAAAUACCCAAAGAUAAACCAGCCUCACUGUCGCAGGGUCACAUUACGUUACAACCCGGAGUGAGAACGUUUCUCAAGCGAAGAAAGCCGUGUUUGCGGUUUGUUUCCUAUGUGACGGGGGUCAGUCUAAUGCCAAGCAGGUGACACGUUGUGAGGCUCGUCCGAUUGGGUUGUGGGUCCUGGUUUAUUUCUGGGCAUGGAAUUGAAAUUCUUGCUUUAUAUGUUAAUGUUUCAGAGAAGCCCCUAAUCUGUGCACGGUGUCUGGAGGACCACAGGAAGUAGGAGGAGGGUUGUGGGUCCUGGUUUAUUUCUGGGCAUGGAAUUGAAAUUCUUGCUUUAUAUGUUAAUGUUUCAGAGAAGCCCCUAAUCUGUGCACGGUGUCUGGAGGACCACAGGAAGUAGGAGGAAGGAAACAACUACGGAUCUGGUCACAAGAAGUUAAACACUUACAGGAAACAGGUCUAGACCUAAAGUUGUGCAAGGUUUGGUCCUGGGAUUCUGACCCUAGGUGGAAAGAUGCCCAAUAAAAAAAGAUAUUCACCCUUGCCUCAUGAAUGUGCUACGAUGGCCAUACAACACAAACAUCAAGUAACAACUCAAGAUUUUAAGUCCUCGGUUAAAUUUGAGUUUGUUCUCUCUUUAGUGUUCUAUGCCUCAGUUGUCUAGGCUUAACAGGUAAAGAAUUAAAUUAAAGCCCUUUAAUAUUUAUGAGCAGUGUGCAAGUCGUGUGAAGGGAUUUCACCCUUGUUAAACACUGAAAGAAAAAAAAUCCCAAGAGUCAUCAAAAGGAAAAAAGUAUCAUUUGCCCACACAUGAGGACAUGAGCAUGCUGUAUAAAAAGAGGGCUAACUUCUUCACUCACAACCAGCCACCCCUGUCCUUACAGACUCAUUAUCUCCAGCCCUGUACAUCUAAAAGGAUACCGCUUUGAAAACCUCCAGACAACCAUGGAUCACAUCUUUAGGAUUGCCUUUUGCAUGCUCUCCAUCUCUUAUCUUCAAGGAAAACCAACUCCAUCUACAAAUAUCCCUACCUUUGAUUUUGACACGGCCGUAAUCAAAGAUAUUCUAGGGGUCACUAAGAAACUACUGAAAACCGACAUGACCUGUGUAAGUUACUAUAGAAUCAUUAUUGGUGAAAUAGAUGGAAUGCUUGACUUGGGCUCUUACUUAAACCUUUCUUCCAAUGCAGGACAAGAAUUUAACCUUCUACACAGCAGAUUUUACAAAGGUAUGACCUAUCUGAUUCUAUUAAAUCAUGGUGUUUAACUUCUCAAACAGUCUUGAUUAUGUGAAGCAUAAACAAAUGCCUAAUGUAGUCUAAGACAUCCGCUCAGUUACAAUAUUGGACCAGUGUUGCAGGAUCCUCAGCACAGCUGCUGAGAUGAGGGUUUCAACACACUUCCCCCCUCAGCCCACAAUCCUCUCCACAGCGUCAGUCAGUCCAAAGCCUAACGUGUCUUUCUCUUUCAGGAAUGCAUGGUGGCCGCACUGAACUGCAGCCUUUCAGAGCUGCUGGUCGUGGAGAGUAAAUGCCCCGUAUUGGACGUAGAAGAUAUCAUCGUCAGCUUGGAAUAUUUGCUAGAAUCAACAGAGAACUCAAGAGGAACUGAAUUCUCUUCAGAAUGCAAGUGUGAGAAUCAGAAAUCAGAACAGCUAAAAGAGUUCAUCACAAACCUGCAGACUGGACUGCAGUGGAUCCAGAGCCAAUAGUUAGCAACUAAGGAUCAAGAGAUUGUUAUACAAAGAUUGUAAAGCAGUGUGUGAUAAAACAAGUACAGUUUCAGCUGCUUUCUAAUGAUACUACUAUUCUAAGUUGUGACACUUCUACCAUGUCUGUACUGUACAUUUCUGAGAGGCUGCCGAACAAGCCUUCAGACAACUGGAUCUACAUUUCAAAGUUCUCAGCAUAUGUUAUGAGUGUUAAUGUAUUUAACAGUUAUUUAUUUAUCUAUCUAUUUAUUAAGUAUUUAUUACAUUGAUCGAUAAUAAAACCUUAUUACCAAGA